RNAcentral lists this ribosomal RNA (390 nucleotides) under uncultured bacterium. RNAcentral describes it as "bacterial SSU rRNA". It matches the Rfam family "Bacterial small subunit ribosomal RNA", at positions 30 to 418 of the family's 1533-position model. The record is from RNAcentral.
AUUGAACGCUGGCGGCAUGCCUUACACAUGCAAGUCGAACGGCAGCACGGGAGCUUGCUCCUGGUGGCGAGUGGCGAACGGGUGAGUAAUACAUCGGAACGUACCCUGAAGUGGGGGAUAACGUAGCGAAAGUUACGCUAAUACCGCAUAUUCUGUGAGCAGGAAAGAGGGGGAUCGCAAGACCUCUUGCUUUAGGAGCGGCCGAUGUCGGAUUAGCUAGUUGGUGAGGUAAAGGCUCACCAAGGCGACGAUCCGUAGCUGGUCUGAGAGGACGACCAGCCACACUGGAACUGAGACACGGUCCAGACUCCUACGGGAGGCAGCAGUGGGGAAUUUUGGACAAUGGGCGCAAGCCUGAUCCAGCCAUUCCGCGUGAGUGAAGAAGGCCUC